Molecule: transfer RNA, 66 nt
Filed under: Claassenia xucheni
Lineage: Eukaryota; Metazoa; Arthropoda; Insecta; Plecoptera; Perlidae
Description: tRNA-Asn
Source: RNAcentral
UUAAUUGAAGCCAAAUAAGAGGCAUGUCACUGUUAAUGACAUUACUGAGUUUAACCUCCGAUUAAG